GCUGGGCAUCGGGGAGAUGGCCGAGACUGACCCCAAGACCGUGCAGGACCUCACCUCGGUGGUGCAGACACUCCUGCAGCAGAUGCAAGAUAAAUUUCAGACCAUGUCUGACCAGAUCAUUGGGAGAAUUGAUGAUAUGAGUAGUCGCAUUGAUGAUCUGGAAAAGAAUAUCGCGGACCUCAUGACACAGGCUGGGGUGGAAGAACUGGAAAGUGAAAACAAGAUACCUGCCACGCAAAAGAGUUGAAGGUUGCUAAUAAUUUAUACUGGAAUCUGGCAUUUUUCCAAGCCAAGAGAAGAUCGAAUGGCUUUUUGCAGCUAACUACUAUGUGUAGACAGGUUUUAUAUUAUAAAUGCAUUCUCCUGAAAACAUAAGACCAUUUGACUGAUUCUGCUCCAGAAUCUUAUUGAGGCAAAGGACUGGACCGAAUUAUUCAUGGAACAGAAGCCUAGGACUGGAAACACCCAGGGAGAAGGCCACGUGAUGAUGGAGGCAGAGACUGGAGUGACGCAGCUGGGAGCCAGGGAACAUCAACGAUCACCAAGUGUCUCCAGGAACCAUCAGGAGCUGGAGGGGCGGGAAGGAUCUUCCCGGGAGCAUGGAUUUGUAGACACCUUGAUUUUGGACUUCUGCCCUCCAGAACUAUGAAAGGGCAGGACAGCCGUGUCCUACAUUUCCCGCCAUUUCCCCAUGGUGAUGGAGCUGCAGGGGUCCUGAGAGAGGGACGCUCACAAGGUCCCCGCACCACUUCCCGAGGGUCCCAGAAUGACAGAUUCGUAUUCUAAAGGGCCUGCCAUCUGUCAUGUGAUGCUAUACGAGAGUCAGGUUGGAAUUUGGUAUCUUCUGGCUACAAAGAGUCUGUUUGAUCAGCCUUACAAUCUCUGUUUUAAUGUUAAUGCUGGUCCAUUGUGCCUGAAUUCCAAAGGAAGGAGGGCAUAAAAAGGCAUGUCCAACCCCUGCUUCCCAUCAUGGCCUGAACUAGUUUUUCAGGUUUACUUUGGAAUCCCCUUGGCUGAGAGGAGGGAUCCAUUCAGUCAGUCAGAGGGCUUAGAAUUUUAUUUUGGGGGCUGGGCGCAGUGGUUCAUGCCUGUAAUCCCAACACUUUGGGAGACCAAGGCAGGCAGAUCACUUGAGGUCAGGACUUUGAGACCUGCCUGGCCAACAUGGAGAAACCCUGUCUCUACUAAAAAUACAAAAUUAGCCGGGCAUAGCGGCGCAUGCCUGUAAUCCCAGCUACUUGGGAGGCUGAGGCAGGAGAAUCGCUUGAACCUAGGAGAGACGGAGGCUGCAGUGAGCCAAGAUCGCGCCAUUGUACUCCAGCUUGGGCAACAAGAGUG
RNAcentral lists this long non-coding RNA (1338 nucleotides) under Homo sapiens (human). RNAcentral describes it as "HSALNT0234427". Lineage: Eukaryota; Metazoa; Chordata; Mammalia; Primates; Hominidae. The record is from RNAcentral.